CAGUGCCAUUUUUGAAAACUGCUAUUAUACCGUCCUUUUUCAAUUGUUUUUCUUCUAAAACGCAGCAAACUUUCCUUUUAAACCUAAGUAUGGUAUCAGCCCAUUCCCUUAGGGCUUCAUUUAGCAUGCUGCCACUGACAAUAUAAUUAUUGGAGCCAUGAAAUCAAUUUACAGCUUCAAGAUCUCUCCUCUGACUUCGAUCUCAACGAAGCAAAGAAGUAUCCAUAGCGAAAUUGCAAAGUUCUAUGGGAGCACGGGACUACUGUAAGGUGGAGAAGGCCAUGCAGGUCUGGCAUGUUCCAAAAACUCCUAGUGCUGUUGAGAAUUUUGGGUGUAUUGGGCCUCGGGUUUUAGGGCUUAUAAUGGGUAUUGGAUCUCAAUGUUUGUAAAAGGGACAUUGGAUUUAUUUUUGUUAUUUUAUUUUAUUUUUCGUUUUA
Gossypium arboreum is the source of this 437-nucleotide long non-coding RNA. RefSeq lists it as uncharacterized. The record is from RefSeq and is a predicted model, not a curated record. Lineage: Eukaryota; Viridiplantae; Streptophyta; Magnoliopsida; Malvales; Malvaceae. The transcript is spliced from 2 exons.